CCCAAAGGAGGUUCUACGGGUGUGCGGCGCGGGAGACCGGUGACUGAGAUCGCGAUGGACACAGAUGGAUAAAAGGAUCAAUGGCUAUCGAGAUGUUCAAGUACUUCAACAAAAGAUCAAUUGAUAGUAGAGAAACAUGAGAAAUAAGGUCUCCCUAGAGAAUAGGAAUGUUUCAAAUGUUUCAUCCUGCAGACAGAGCAUCAUGAAGUUAUGAAUUAGUACUUCUCAGAAGCAUUUGUAGGUGAAAAACAAAGUUUUUAUAUAACGAUCUAAAUACAAUUUGUACAUUUACAAGUAAUGAAGGAAGUUAAACAUAAACUUAAAUAAACAAAUACAAUAUUGA
This is a long non-coding RNA of Rattus rattus (black rat), 343 nucleotides long. RefSeq lists it as uncharacterized. The transcript has 2 exons. Lineage: Eukaryota; Metazoa; Chordata; Mammalia; Rodentia; Muridae. The record is from RefSeq and is a predicted model, not a curated record.